Oxyura jamaicensis (ruddy duck) is the source of this 603-nucleotide long non-coding RNA. RefSeq lists it as uncharacterized. The record is from RefSeq and is a predicted model, not a curated record. NCBI's taxonomy places the organism in Eukaryota, Metazoa, Chordata, Aves, Anseriformes, Anatidae. The transcript is spliced from 3 exons.
UCUGUGGGUAACACCACAUGCACACCCUGAAGCAACUGUGGGUGAGUCUGUGCUGCAGCAGGCACACAUCUGAAGAAGCUGUGGCCUGUUGGUAAGUGUGCACCAGAAUGGAUAGACCUUGAAGCAUCUGUGGCUGUGGAUAAAUCCAUGGCAUAGUAGGCAGACCUCUGAAGGGAUUGUGGCUCGUGGAUAAGGCCAUGCCAGAACAGGUAUACCUCUAAGGGACUGUGGACAAUGGACAAGCCUGAGCUGCAGCAGGUGCAAGGGGAGGAGUUGAUCGCAACAUUUAACACCAUGGCCUGGUCUGAAAAGACCAGGAGUGGAGAUUGUGAUGGAUAUGCCUUUAACUGUUGUAAAGCAUGAUCCGAGUCAUGUUAUAGGAAGUCCUAAAGCAGGAACCUCCUGAACCAUCAGAGGACGAGCCUCACAAGAAGCAGCGCAAGUACAACAGUGACACAACCUGACCUGGCUUUGGUGUCCAGAAAGUCGAUGUAACAUACUGUUUCUCCUGUCCUGAGCAACCACCCUAACAAAUCUAAGUCAUGGACUAAACGAACCCAGUGGACAUUUCAUGGACAUUUCACAGGGGGCGUCCACAAACAA